This 504-nucleotide ribosomal RNA is filed under the name uncultured bacterium. Its description in RNAcentral is "partial 16S ribosomal RNA". It matches the Rfam family "Bacterial small subunit ribosomal RNA", at positions 29 to 523 of the family's 1533-position model. The record is from RNAcentral.
AUUGAACGCUGGCGGCAGGCCUAACACAUGCAAGUCGAACGGUAGCACAGAGAGCUUGCUCUCGGGUGACGAGUGGCGGACGGGUGAGUAAUGUCUGGGAAACUGCCCGGUGGAGGGGGAUAACUACUGGAAACGGUAGCUCAUACCGCAUAACGUCGCAAGACCAAAGUGGGGGACCUUCGGGCCUCACACCAUCGGAUGUGCCCAGAGGGGAUUAGCUAGUAGGUGGGGGCAUGGCUCACCUAGGCGACGAUCCCUAGCUGGUCUGAGAGGAUGACCGGCCACACUGGAACUGAGACACGGUCCAGACUCCUACGGGAGGCAGCAGUGGGGAAUAUUGCACAAUGGGCGCAAGCCUGAUGCAGCCAUGCCGCGUGUAUGAAGAAGGCCGUCGGGUUGUAAAGUACUUUCGGCGGGGAGGAAGGCGGUGAAGUUAAUAGCUUCACCGAUUGACGUUACCCGCAGAAGAAGCACCGGCUAACUCCGUGCCAGCCGCCGCCAUAA